AUUCCCUAGGUAUUGCUCCAGGAAAUCAACUUGCUGUCUCUGUCCGAAGUCCUCCUUCAUAAUGUCUGUAGGAACACAUUAGUUUUAGUAACUUUAGUAACUUCUUACAAAGGCCUCCAUGAGACCAUGGUCUGUGUCCGCUGUGAGACUCCAAUAUAAACAGGAGUGGGAAAGGAGAUUUGAGAGUAGAGACGUGUAGGAUGAAAAGGGAAAAGGGAAGAGAGAGAGGUGCAGAAAGAACAAACAGCCUAUUGAGGAUAUUGGUAGCCAUAGAAGGUUUUGAUGCCUGCACCAAGUCUCGAAGGGAACAAGUAGAUGCUACUCUCAGUGUCCACUAAACCAUAAGUCCUUUGAGGAUACAGGAAGACAUCCACCAAUCUCAAGAUCAAAAUGUGAUAAGAGGAAGUCUGCAAGCAAAGAAGAUGUUACCCACCACCACCUCUUACAGAAAUGGCAGAAUCUCUGGGAAUAAUGGUUUUCACAAAGAAAGCAUUCCUAAUCACUCAGGGGGAACUAGGUCACCACCACAAAUUGUCCUCCAGUUAAAAGCAUGAACUCUUCUGGACACGAAUUCUCUUCUGAGUGUGAGGAUGCCAUGACUGUGAUACAGGGUAAAGUGGGAUGGAGUGCUUAAUCCCCAAGAAAGUCCAUCAGGAAUAGGAGAAGGCCAGUUUAAGAGCAUUUAAUGUUGUCCAACAAGUCCAACUGAAAUCGGGAGUGGUUAAUCCUCAUAAAUAUAAUAUCUAUCAUUAGUUAUUCAGGAAAUAUGGGAAGUCAGUACCAAGUCAGAUGGUCCAAAACACGCAAGUCAAUUAAGCAGCCUGAAAGAGGUGACACGAGGCAUGAGUGAUGCCCAAAGAAGGUGACACGCCCAGUGUAGCUGGUUACAAAGCAAGCCUCCUGAUAGCUGGAUGUGUUUUGAAAUACUUGUAAAGUCCUUGGUAAGCAUCUCCUAUUCUUGUGAUAAAUAAACACUACCAAGGAAAAAGUACUAAACCACUCAACUGAAGUUUGAAUUGAUAAAGAAUGGUAAUGUGCACAAUACUGAAUGACCUUGGAGCCUCUUUGAUCUGUGCGUUUCUAUAUUCAGCUCAAGGUCCCAUUGAAACCAAGGAGUUUAUGUUUGGGCCAAUAAAUAGAGCUAAUAAAAGUUCACCCUUGGACUGGGACUCUUUGAAUGGCUGGAACAUGGGUCAUUUAUGGUGUUUGAUGACUGUGAAUGCCAACAAAACUACUACUGAGUAUAUAUGGCUUCUUUUACACCCUAGAUGAGAAAAGCCUGCCUGUAGCAUGUAGGAGAGUAAAAAAGAGAAUAAGCAACCUGAUGCCACAUAUUGAAAUUUCAUUUGACAAAUAUGCAUUGAAUAUCUACUAUGUGGCAGACAGCCUUCAAGCAGGAGGGAUACACAGAUGAACCAAAUGUAGGCCCUGCCUGUGAGACUCCAGACUGGACAGAAUGCACUUAAGUCCACAUAGCAGUAAUACACGUCGGACUGUGAGGAUGGCUGAGCAGAAGGAAGAGCAAGGAAUUCUCUAUGGGAAGACUCUGGAAGGCUUUAACAAGGAUGUGCUCUUUAGCUGAACCUUAAAGCAUGAGUGAAAAAAAAGAGCAGAAAAAGGUGGUGUUUUGAGCAGAGAACAGACACUGAGCAAGAAGCAGAAGAGCAGAGGAGCCGAGAAAGCUGGACAGAGUUCUAGAAAUGUGGCAUGGAAGGAAUGAAAGGUCUGAGGAGGGAAAGGAGGUCAGGACCAACUACGAAUGGUCUGGAAUGACUUGCUACACGUGGAUUUGACUUUAUUUGUAGGCCGGGGGGUUGUAGAGGUUUUAUAUUUUUAUACAUUUAUUUUUUAAUUUUCAUAUUUCAACAGAGCUUGUUUCAAGUAAUUCUUAUGUAAAACAUGAAUGUAUACAACAAAAACAAGCGGGUGAUGUUUCAUUAGUACAAACGUGCUUUUAUAAUCUUAACUUUAUUAAGCUUGCUUAUUCUUAAGUUAACCAAUGAGAACAAUUCUAAUCGUCUGCACAUGAGUCAAGAUUUUGCACUCUGUGCAAGUGACUGAAAACUCAAUUCAAACUAACUCAGGAAAAAAAAAAGUGGGGGAAGGGAGGAAGAAGAUUUAUUACCCAUAUAAAUCCAGGAGGGGUUCUGGGAUUCAGGAAUCAGUUGAUUGUGGGGCUGAAAGAAUAUUAUCAAAGCUUCAGCUGAUUUCUCAGCUCCAUGUCCCCUCUAUAGUAGCUGCUUCAUUCUCAACAUGAGCAUCCUUGGUAGUCCCCAGGAACGCUGGGCUUAGAAUCACCUUUACAAGCGGCAAUCUUCCUUUCCUACCAAAGCCCACCACAGUCCCAGAACUAAGCCUCAGCGACCUGGCCCGCCUCACAUGUCCAUCCCUGAACCUGUGGCCAACACAAUGGUGUAUCCCAAAUGAGCAUGGUGGGUCCUGCAUACAUCCAGGUCUCGAAGGAAAAUCGAGCUGCUGUCACCGGAAGGAGGAUGCACAGGAAAAAAAAAACACAGUUUAUUCUAUUUUGACCAAUGUGAAAAUUUUAAAUUUAGGAUAAGGGAUUGCAGGUUUAUACCAGUUUUAACACUCACUUUGUUUCUGUAUUUUAUUUGCACAGUAUUGAGAAAAUUCUGAUUCAUUACUGGUAACUGUUUUUUAAAUAGCAUACCUGUUUAAAUUACACCUGGAACAUUCAAAAUAGUCUUAAAUUAAACUUGUGCCAAAGUGUAAGUAGGUUGAAAGUCUGAGCAAUGGGAAGUUUUAUUUCAAAGUUUAAUUCUACAAACAAUCUCCUCUGUUAAUUUAAGUGUUCACUGGGAAGAUGUUUCUCAAAUGUAUCUAUAAUAUCUAACAAGAAAUUCAACAAUGUUACUUAUUUUUUAAACUUAGUAUCUCAGUAACUAUUGCUCAAAGCUUGAGUGUGAUAAAAUUAAUGUUUUGCUCUUUGAGUCAUAAAGUUAGGUUUCAACUUAAUUGCUGGCAUGCUAUCAGCAAAUGUAAGCAUGGUGAUAUUGCAACUUCACAUUGCCAAACUGAACUCAUUCAGUUUCUUGAAAAACAUCAGCAAGUUUAUGCAACUCUGUUAUAUCAGAGAACUAUUUGCUAAGUCUCAUUUGGGAUACAAUAUUUAGUGAUUUCUUGUCUCAUUUGAAAGAGUAAUAACAACACCUUGCCUCAAGACAGUUGGUAAGUGUACUUUCCCAGGAGAAAGUACACUGUGGAACCCACAACCCAAUACAUUCCCAAAAACUAUAAAAAGGCUGAAAUUGGAAUCUCCUGUCUCAUUAAACUGACAAUGUAAAGGAAAUCGCUAAUCACUGUUUUUGCUUUUGUUUUUUGAGACGGAGUCUCGCUCUGUAGCCCAGGCUGGAGUGCAGUGGCGCAAUCUCGCUCACUUGCAAGCUCCGCCUCCCGGGUUCACGCCAUUCUCCUGCCUCAGCCUCCCCAGCAGCUGGGACUAUAGGCGCACACCACCACGCCCGGCUAAUUUUUUGUAUUUUUAGUAGAGAUGGGGUUUCACCGUGUUAGCCAGGACCGUCUCCAUCUCCUGACUUUGUGAUCCUCCCGACUCGGCCUCCCAAAGUGUUGGGAUUACAGGCGUGAGCCACCGCGCCCAGCCUAAUCACUGUUUUAAGAGAUGCUCAUGUCACCUUAAUAGCAAGUGCUUUUCUGUGCAACUUGCCAUGUCUUAUUCAAAAUCACAUUUCACCAAGAAAAUUCCUCAGCACUUUGCACCACUUCAUCCCAUUCUGCAUAGCCUUAUUUUCCUAAUUGGGCUAACAUGACUCUUUUCUUAGCCUGAGAGCCCUGCAAGGGCUGGAACUCUCUUAUUAUGUGCUUUCUCUCCAUUGAGCUUACUAAUGUAUACUCAGAGCUUAGACUGUAAAUGUUUGGUGAAUAAAUUAUGUAUGUAUGUAUGUAUGUAUGUAUAUUUAAUGUGUUUUAUUUACAAAAAAAAUUAAAGGAAAAUUUUCACCAAGCCAUUGUUUCAAAUAAAAUUCUUUUUUUUUAAUUUUUUUUUUUAUUUUGAGACAAUCUCACUCUGUCACCCAGGCUGGAGUGCAGUAGCGCAAUCUUGGCUCACUGCCACCUCCGCCUCCUGGGUUCAAGCGAUUCUCGUGCCUCAGCCACCCAAGUAGCUGGGAUCACAGGCAUGUGCCACCAUGCCCAGCUAAUUCUUGUAUUUUUAGUAGAGACGGGGUUUCACCAUGUUGACUAGGCUGGUCUUGAACUCUUGGCCUCCCAAAGUGCUGAGAUUACAGACAUGAGCCACCACACCCAGCCUCAAAUAAAAUUCUUGAGAUUAAGAGUUUUUACACCCCUUAUAAAUAGCACACAAAACAAGAAACCAAAAACUUAUCUCCUCUACAGAAAUGUUUUGCAAUGGCUAUUUUGACCCCAGGACCAUUUACAUUCCUCAUUCAUUCAUCAAACAGUUAGGAAGCACCUACUACAUGCUAUUAAACUGUCCCCAUUGCUGAGGAUAUCUUCUGAAAGACAUUAAAUACAGUUUUUGACCUCAAGGAGUCUAGUCAGGGAGAAUCAUAGAACUCAAAUCAUCAUCAUGCCACCUGAUGUGUGCCAUAAGAGAGAUACGAAUAUUACGUGGUGUUGAUUAGGCUCUUUCGGGUUGCCAGGAAAAGAGACGUGCUCUGGUGACUUGCAUUAAUGUGGUUCAUUAUGAGGAAGUAGGGAAGAACAGGAAGCAGUUUUAGCAGCUGCCUGGCGGGUCUGGCAGAGCCAGGAAUGUCAUUCAGGACAUAGUAUACCUCCAGCCACCUGUUCUUCUUGACAUUGCUUCAACGGCAAGCAUCUGUUGCUCCUUCUCUAGUGCUCUGCCAGUGUGAUGACUCAGCCACGCUCUGCCCUGCUUUCUCUGCUCGUGCUGCUAAAUCC
RNAcentral lists this long non-coding RNA (4899 nucleotides) under Homo sapiens (human). RNAcentral describes it as "HSALNT0071315". The record is from RNAcentral. Lineage: Eukaryota; Metazoa; Chordata; Mammalia; Primates; Hominidae.